GGUAACUCGGGGCCAGCAGCGGGGGGAAAACGGAGGGUGCAAGGGUUAAUCGGAAUUACAGGGCGUAAAGCGGGCGUAGGUGGUUUGUUAAGCGAGGUGUGAAAGCCCCGGGCUUAACCUGGGAAUUGCAUUUCGAACUGGCAAGCUAGAGGACGGUAGAGGGUAGUGGAAUUUCCGGUGUAGCGGUGAAAUGCGUAGAGAUCGGAAGGAACAUCAGUGGCGAAGGCGACUACCUGGACUGAUACUGACACUGAGGUGCGAAAGCGUGGGGAGCAAACAGGAUUAGAUACCCGAGUAGUC
Molecule: ribosomal RNA, 300 nt
Filed under: uncultured archaeon
Lineage: Archaea
Description: bacterial SSU rRNA
Rfam family: Bacterial small subunit ribosomal RNA
Source: RNAcentral